GAUGAACGCUGGCGGCAUGCCUAAUACAUGCAAGUCGAGCGAAGCGGGGAAGGGUGAGUAAAACGUGGAUAAACUCAUAUAAGACUGGGAUAACUUCGGGAACCCGGAGCUACACCGGAUAAUUAUAGCGUGAUCCGCGCUGCAUUAGCUAGUUGGUAAGGUAACGGCAUACCAAGGCAACUAUGCAUAGCCGACCUGACAGGGUGAUCGGCCACACUGGAACUGAGACACGGUCCAGACUCCUACGGGAGGCAGCAGGAGGGAAUCUUCCGCAAUGGGCGAAAGCCUGACGGAGCAACGCCGCGUGAGUGAUGAAGGUCUUCGGAUCGUAAAACUCUGUUAUUAGGGAAGCGGUACCUAAUCAGAAAGCCCCGGCUAACUACGUGCCAGCAGCCGCGGUAAUUC
RNAcentral lists this ribosomal RNA (405 nucleotides) under uncultured bacterium. Its description in RNAcentral is "partial 16S ribosomal RNA". It matches the Rfam family "Bacterial small subunit ribosomal RNA", at positions 28 to 526 of the family's 1533-position model. The record is from RNAcentral.